CCUACGGGAGGCAGCAGUGGGGAAUAUUGCGCAAUGGGCGAAAGCCUGACGCAGCGACGCCGCGUGAGGGAUGAAGGUCUUCGGAUCGUAAACCGCUGUCAGCAGGGAAGAACGGUCACUGUGCUAAUCAGCAGUGAAUUGACGGGACCUGCAAAGGAAGCACCGGCUAAAUCCGGGCCAGCAGCCGCGGUAAUACGGAGGGUGCGAGCGUUAAUCGGAAUUACUGGGCGUAAAGCGCUCGUAGGGGGUAUGUCCAGUCAAGGGGGAAAUACCCGCGGUCAACCUGGGAACUGCCUUUGAAACUGGCAAACUGGAGUGUGUGAGAGGAUAGUGGAAUUCCAGGUGUAGGAGUGAAAUCCGUAGAUAUCUGGAGGAACAUCAGUGGCGAAGGCGACUAUCUGGCACAUAACUGACGCUGAGGAGCGAAAGCGUGGGUAGCAAACAGGAUUAGAUACCCGGGUAGUC
RNAcentral lists this ribosomal RNA (465 nucleotides) under uncultured bacterium. RNAcentral's name for it is "partial 16S ribosomal RNA". It matches the Rfam family "Bacterial small subunit ribosomal RNA", at positions 338 to 795 of the family's 1533-position model. The record is from RNAcentral.